RNAcentral lists this ribosomal RNA (1396 nucleotides) under bacterium NLAE-zl-H493. RNAcentral describes it as "16S ribosomal RNA". It matches the Rfam family "Bacterial small subunit ribosomal RNA". The record is from RNAcentral.
AGUCGAGGGGCAGCAUUUCAGUUUGCUUGCAAACUGGAGAUGGCGACCGGCGCACGGGUGAGUAACACGUAUCCAACCUGCCGAUAACUCGGGGAUAGCCUUUCGAAAGAAAGAUUAAUACCCGAUGGUAUAAUCAGACCGCAUGGUCUUGUUAUUAAAGAAUUUCGGUUAUCGAUGGGGAUGCGUUCCAUUAGGCAGUUGGUGAGGUAACGGCUCACCAAACCUUCGAUGGAUAGGGGUUCUGAGAGGAAGGUCCCCCACAUUGGAACUGAGACACGGUCCAAACUCCUACGGGAGGCAGCAGUGAGGAAUAUUGGUCAAUGGGCGCAGGCCUGAACCAGCCAAGUAGCGUGAAGGAUGACUGCCCUAUGGGUUGUAAACUUCUUUUAUAUGGGAAUAAAGUUUUCCACGUGUGGAAUUUUGUAUGUACCAUAUGAAUAAGGAUCGGCUAACUCCGUGCCAGCAGCCGCGGUAAUACGGAGGAUCCGAGCGUUAUCCGGAUUUAUUGGGUUUAAAGGGAGCGUAGGUGGACAGUUAAGUCAGUUGUGAAAGUUUGCGGCUCAACCGUAAAAUUGCAGUUGAUACUGGCUGUCUUGAGUACAGUAGAGGUGGGCGGAAUUCGUGGUGUAGCGGUGAAAUGCUUAGAUAUCACGAAGAACUCCGAUUGCGAAGGCAGCUCACUGGACUGCAACUGACACUGAUGCUCGAAAGUGUGGGUAUCAAACAGGAUUAGAUACCCUGGUAGUCCACACAGUAAACGAUGAAUACUCGCUGUUUGCGAUAUACAGUAAGCGGCCAAGCGAAAGCAUUAAGUAUUCCACCUGGGGAGUACGCCGGCAACGGUGAAACUCAAAGGAAUUGACGGGGGCCCGCACAAGCGGAGGAACAUGUGGUUUAAUUCGAUGAUACGCGAGGAACCUUACCCGGGCUUAAAUUGCAUUUGAAUAUAUGGGAAACAGGAUAGCCGAAAGGCAAAUGUGAAGGUGCUGCAUGGUUGUCGUCAGCUCGUGCCGUGAGGUGUCGGCUUAAGUGCCAUAACGAGCGCAACCCUUAUCUUUAGUUACUAACAGGUCAUGCUGAGGACUCUAGAGAGACUGCCGUCGUAAGAUGUGAGGAAGGUGGGGAUGACGUCAAAUCAGCACGGCCCUUACGUCCGGGGCUACACACGUGUUACAAUGGGGGGUACAGAAGGCAGCUACCUGGUGACAGGAUGCUAAUCCCAAAAGCCUCUCUCAGUUCGGAUCGAAGUCUGCAACCCGACUUCGUGAAGCUGGAUUCGCUAGUAAUCGCGCAUCAGCCAUGGCGCGGUGAAUACGUUCCCGGGCCUUGUACACACCGCCCGUCAAGCCAUGAAAGCCGGGGGUACCUGAAGUACGAACCGCAAGGAGCUCCUAGG